Non-coding RNA from Helianthus annuus (common sunflower), 459 nucleotides. NCBI's taxonomy places the organism in Eukaryota, Viridiplantae, Streptophyta, Magnoliopsida, Asterales, Asteraceae. The record is from Rfam.
UUUAAGAUGGUAUAGAUAAAUUGUCUGGGUCAGCGUGUGAGUUGAUUUAUUAAUUAUUUUUUUGAAAUUAUCGGCUAACUCUGUGCCAGUAGCCGUGGUAAUAAAGGAUGCACGCGUUAUCCGGAAUGAUUGGGCGUAAAGCGUCUAGAGGUGGCUUUUUAAGUCCGCCGUCAAAUCCCAGGGCUCAACUCUGGACAGGCGGUGGAAACUACCAAGCUGGAGUACGGUAGGGGCAGAGAGAAUUUUCGGUGGAGCGGUAAAGCGCGCAGAGAUCGGAAAGAACACCAACAGCGAAAGCACGCUAGGCCGACACUGACACUGAGAGACGAAAGCUAGGGGAGCGAAUGGGAUUAGAUACCCCAGUAGUCCUAGCCGUAAACGACGGAUACUAGGCGCUAUGCGUAUCGACCCGUACAGUGUUGUAGCUAACGCGUUAAGUAUCCCCAGAUAAUCUAUAUU